CUAGGGGAGGCAGCAGUGGGGAAUAUUGCACAAUGGGCGCAAGCCCGAUGCAGCCAUGCCGCGUGUAUGAAGAAGGCCUUCGGGUUGUAAAGUACUUUCAGCGGGGAGGAAGGUGUUGUGGUUAAUAACCGCAGCAAUUGACGUUACCCGCAGAAGAAGCACCGGCUAACUCCGUGCCAGCAGCCGCGGUAA
Molecule: ribosomal RNA, 192 nt
Filed under: uncultured bacterium
Lineage: Bacteria
Description: partial 16S ribosomal RNA
Rfam family: Bacterial small subunit ribosomal RNA
Source: RNAcentral